RNAcentral lists this ribosomal RNA (367 nucleotides) under uncultured bacterium. RNAcentral's name for it is "bacterial SSU rRNA". It matches the Rfam family "Bacterial small subunit ribosomal RNA", at positions 527 to 893 of the family's 1533-position model. The record is from RNAcentral.
GAAGGGGGCGAGCGUUGUUCGGAUUUACUGGGCGUAAAGGGCGCGCAGGCGGCUAUUUUUGUCAGGCGUGAAAGCCCCGGGCUUAACCUGGGAACUGCGCUUGAAACGGGAUGGCUAGAGAUCGGGAGAGGAGAGUGGAAUUCCCAGUGUAGAGGUGAAAUUCGUAGAUAUUGGGAAGAACACCGGUGGCGAAGGCGGCUCUCUGGACCGAUACUGACGCUGAGGCGCGAAAGCGUGGGGAGCAAACAGGAUUAGAUACCCUGGUAGUCCACGCUGUAAACGAUGUGUGCUAGACGUUGGGGAGCCUAGCUCUUCGGUGUCGCAGCUAACGCGGUAAGCACACCGCCUGGGGAGUACGGCCGCAAGG